UCGAUAUACCUACCUGAGUUUAUUGAAGUAUUUUUUGUGAUAUGAAUGUGUAUGUGAAUAUAAUAGAUUUACAUAUUCAAGUAACACCCAUGUAAGACUUACUGAAAGCCCUAUGGGAGGCCAGCUUUUGUCUGCAAUUCAAUCAUCCCGAGAUAAUAUAAAUGGAUGUUCGGCUACUACCAAAACUCAUCUUCUUCCAUGGCGUAUCCCAUAGUAUUGUUGGUGUCUUUACCUCUUUGGACAAGAAGCCUAGGGUCCACUUGUGAAAAAUGAUCUUGGAUUGGGUUCGUGGUUAAAGGUCCUCAGGGAGUAUUCUAAUGUCGCGUUAGCAUCGCAAGUCACGAAUAAAAAAAUAUACCUAAAUGUAAUGAAAAUAAUAAAUUACAAAAACUUGUAUGUUAAAUUAAAAACCAGUUUUUAUGUACUUUUCUGUAUAGUUGUGUGAAUGUAUAUAUUAUUCUUGCAGAUCGGGUGACAACUACCAAAAUCAAGUCCCAAAAUUAUGUAAUAUCAAAUUUUAGGUUAAUGUGCUUCUUAUGUUAUUUAAUCAUUAAAAUUAUCAAUUUCUCAGUAAUUCUCUGUACCAUGCUAUAAUUAAAUAGAAUAAUAAAUAGGUGAUAUUACAAUAAAAAUAUUGUAGACCUAUGUAUGUCGAUGCCAAAGAUACUGUAGGCUAAUCUCUCAGAUCGUUAAUACAAAGAUUGCAAAAAGAAUUUAAUAAGAAGGCUUCUCCAGUCGUUAUCUUCAAUGAAGAAGCUAUCACCGAACCAUUGACUCACUUGCAGAUAUUUUAAGGACUUAUUUGAUGAUAUGACUUCUAAUUCUGACUCAAAUGUACAUAAGUCGUGACUAACGAGUCAUUGGUGGCGCCUACACAUUUUUAUGUUCGACUUUUAUAAAAGAACAGUUAUCCGAUGUGAGUAUUGAAAUUGUUUAGCUCUUUAUGGAAAUACUUGCCCGUUUUCCAUUUAUAUGAAUAUUUAUUUUUUAAUUUUGAUAAUUAGUACGAUUAUAUAUCAAAAUAAAUACAGUCCA
Molecule: long non-coding RNA, 1035 nt
Organism: Amyelois transitella
Lineage: Eukaryota; Metazoa; Arthropoda; Insecta; Lepidoptera; Pyralidae
Exons: 3
Source: RefSeq, a predicted model, not a curated record